GCACUUCCGGGGCAGCGCGGCAUGGCGGCGGGAGGGCGGUGUCUGAAAGAGGACUCCCCGUUGGAAUUUGUACCGAGAAAACCCCAGGCAGGAUUCAAUCCAGUUGCAGAAAGUGCAGAGGGGAGAAACUCUCUGGGAGCUGGAGGAAGCUGCUUGCGCUGAGGUAGCCGUGCCCAGCACUGGCCCUGCAGCAUCUCCGCCCCUCAGCAAGGAGCUGCAACACCACCGCAUGCCCGUCGCGUCAGUGCAGCUGAAGUGUUCCUGGGCUCUGGGUCUGACCCACACGCACCUCAUUUAGCAUGCGCUUCGUGUCCUGCUGACCGCUCUGUGCCCCAGCUGCUGCCUCCCUCUUCCCCGCUGCCAGCUGCCUGCUUCAUGGCAGGAGGAGAUGCUCUCUUGCUGUCACUGAACAUGUGCAGUAGGGAAAGGACGCUCAUGUACUCCACAGGCCUGCAGUGACUGACAUCCUUCCGGGUACCUGGGUGUCCUCUGAAAGUUGUGUCCUGCAAUUCUUACCUACCAGGUCUUUGCCACCAAGGCUGGCUAAGAUGCUUUGGCAAAUACUGGAGAUGUUAUGUUGGGAUUGUUGAGUGCAAGGGCUUUAUAAGCGAGGUAACAAACAGCCUUGUUGAGGAAGGUUGUUCUCCAUAACAUAUUUCCUCAGAGACUCUGGAAGUUUUGUUCAAAACUCAGUUGAGCAUUAUAGUGUAGGUAAUGAUAGAAUCACAAGGUUGGAAGGGACCUGCAAGAUCAUCUAGUCCAACCGUCCUCCCAUCACCGUUGCUACCACAAGCUACUAAACCGUAUCUCAUAGCUCCUCAUCCAGAUGCCUCUUGAACACUACCAGGGACAGUGACUCCACGACCUCCCUGGGCAGGCCAUUCCAGUGCCUGACCACUCUCUGAGAGAAAAAGUUUUUCCUUGUGUCUAAUCUAAAUCUCCUGUGGGGCAACUUGUGGCAAAGGUCCUGUUUGUUGCCUGUGAGAAGAGGCCAAACCCCUCCUCCUCACAGCUUCCCUUCAGGAAGCUGUAGAGUGCAGUGAGGUCUCCUCUGAACCUCCUCUUCUCCAGACUGAACAAUCCCAGCUCCCUCA
RNAcentral lists this long non-coding RNA (1094 nucleotides) under Gallus gallus (chicken). RNAcentral's name for it is "lncRNA (ENSGALG00010025111.1)". The record is from RNAcentral. Lineage: Eukaryota; Metazoa; Chordata; Aves; Galliformes; Phasianidae.